RNAcentral lists this ribosomal RNA (253 nucleotides) under uncultured bacterium. RNAcentral's name for it is "partial 16S ribosomal RNA". It matches the Rfam family "Bacterial small subunit ribosomal RNA", at positions 524 to 776 of the family's 1533-position model. The record is from RNAcentral.
UACGUAGGUGGCAAGCGUUGUCCGGAUUUACUGGGCAUAAAGAGCGCGCAGGCGGUCGUUCAAGUCGAGUGUGAAAGCCCCCGGCUCAACUGGGGAGGGUCACUCGAUACUGAUCGACUCGAAGGCAGAAGAGGGAAGCGGAAUUCCCGGUGUAGUGGUGAAAUGCGUAGAUAUCGGGAGGAACACCAGUGGCGAAGGCGGCUUUCUGGUCUGCUCUUGACGCUGAGGCGCGAAAGCUAGGGUAGCAAACGGG